UACGGGGGGGGUAAGCGUUGUUCGGAAUUACUGGGCGUAAAGGGCUCGUAGGCGGCCAACUAAGUCAUACGUGAAAUCCCUCGGCUCAACUGGGGAACUGCACGGGAAACUGGAAGGCUUGAGUUCGGGAGAGGGAAGCGGAAUUCCGGGUGUAGCGGUGAAAUGCGUAGAUAUCCGGAGGAACACCGGUGGCGAAGGCGGCUUCCUGGACCGACACUGACGCUGAGGCGCGAAAGCUAGGGGAGCAAACGGG
This 253-nucleotide ribosomal RNA is filed under the name uncultured bacterium. RNAcentral describes it as "partial 16S ribosomal RNA". It matches the Rfam family "Bacterial small subunit ribosomal RNA", at positions 524 to 776 of the family's 1533-position model. The record is from RNAcentral.